This is a long non-coding RNA of Equus quagga, 1598 nucleotides long. RefSeq lists it as uncharacterized. NCBI's taxonomy places the organism in Eukaryota, Metazoa, Chordata, Mammalia, Perissodactyla, Equidae. The transcript has 5 exons. The record is from RefSeq and is a predicted model, not a curated record.
GCGGCUUCUAACGCAUGCGUGCAGCUCCCUUUACCCGGUCGCCUUCCCUCCCGGCUUUGCUAGUCAGUUGCUGCGGCCCUGGGAAGGCGGUCUUUCAAGUUAAAAGAAAAAAUUGUUCCAUGAAAAAAGUGGCCAUCUCAGCUGACAACUCAACCACCCACUAGUAGACCGAGAUAGCGAGAGCACUCAGCAUGCACCGGGAGACAAUGCAGACGACAAUAGACUUCAUAUGAAGGCCGGGCAGGAAAAUAUCUGGCUGUGGAUUAUAAAAAAAUGUUCUAAGAAUCAUAGAACGUUGGAAUUGAUAAGCCCUUAGAAAAGUCUCUCUUCCUCCCUUCUCAUCUACUCAGACUGUGAAGCUCCUAGAGGCAGAGAGGGAACACGUCUGUUUUUGCACGCCUCACCGCAGCCUGGCCUGCUUGGCACACCAGCUGUAUGUGAAUGUUUGCUGAAUGAAGAAAUGCAUGCUCAGGGCACUGCGUGGGGCCACUGGCUGGGAAACCACAUGGAAAGAUAAAAGAGGCUUUCUAGAAACACCAUGAUCCUUUGCUCCAGUCCUCCUCACUGUGGAGCUCCCCAGCCCUGACAGAUCGUUUCUAACAGAGAGGCUGUGACUGGUGAUGCAUGUGUGGAAGGACUGUGGCUUCGCUCUUGCGCAUCAUGUUCUGGCGUCCCCACGUUGUCUCUGAAUUUUUAACCACUGGAUUACUGCCUCAUUCACCACGAGAAGUACUGCCUAUUACACCCUGGCUGCAAUUAUGGACCAUGCUAAACCUGAACGUUUCAUUUAAAUAUAUACAAGGGGGGAGGGCACCUACAAAUUCAGGGCUUAUCUGUGUUAGGUGUUGUAUAUACGUGAUCACACUGAACCCUCAUGACACCUCUGUAAACUAAAAAUUAGUAUCCUUAUUUUUAAGUAGAAAUCUCAGGUUUCAAGGAACAAAAGUACGCACAGCCAGGGUUCAAGUCCAGGUCCACGUGACUCCAAGAUCAUUUUAUCUCACUAUGGCUCAGGCGAAGUGCUUACUCAGCACACGCAGAGCUUAAUUGUUCUCUCAUCCUACGAAAGGAGCAGAGACGGUAUAUUAAGUCAGCCAAAAGAGAUGGUAAUCUCUUGAAGGCAAAGGCUGAUUACUCAUCUUUUUGUGUGGCAUAGAAUAAGAAUACCUCGAUGUGUUAGAUGUAUCCUUCCAAAUGGGGUGCACGUGAGAUAAAUGUUGAUUUUUAAAAUAAAUUACACACAUACACAACACACUUUCUCAAAGCACGUGUAAGCAUCUACCUCAUUGCUAUUACAGAUUCAAAUUCCUGCAGAGAAAAUAAAAUUUACUUAUUUAAGUAAAAAGUGAAGUCAGUAAAAAGGAUGGUUUCAAUGCCAAAUGAUAAGCCAACCAAAAGGAUAAAAAACAUGGGUACUGAAUUACAUUUGCUGGUAUUUUAAGCUUUAAAGGCACAUUGGCUAAUAUUUCUGUUACACCAGGAAUAACAAGCAAGCAUAAAGCCUUUCACCGUGUAACUGACCCUAGAUGUGGUGUCCCCUCAGAGAAGAGAACAUGCAAGUACGAGAUGUUCUGCUCAUGCAAGACGGAACCUAAAUG